Molecule: non-coding RNA, 44 nt
Organism: Trichobilharzia regenti
Lineage: Eukaryota; Metazoa; Platyhelminthes; Trematoda; Strigeidida; Schistosomatidae
Source: Rfam
AUUUUUUGACGAGUCCCAAAUAGGACGAAAUGCGCAUCCUGGAU